UGGGUGGGUAGGAUGGGACUACAGGCAGGGAGACAGGUGGGUGGGUAGGAUGGAACUACAGGCAGGGAGACAGGUGGGUGGGUAGUAUGGAACUACAGGCAGGGAGACAGGUGGGUGGGUGGGUAGGAUGGGACUACAGGCACUGAGACAGGUGGGUGGGUAGGAUGGGACUGCAGGCAGGGAGACAGGUGGGUGGGUAGGAUGGGACUACAGGCACUGAGACAGGUGGGCGGGUAGGAUGGGACUGCAGGCAGGCCAGCUCUUAGUUCUAUUUCUAGCCCUGUCUUCCCUUCAGAAGAGUCGUCAAACAAGCCGCCCUCUCAUGGACAG
Oncorhynchus tshawytscha (Chinook salmon) is the source of this 330-nucleotide long non-coding RNA. The record is from Ensembl. Lineage: Eukaryota; Metazoa; Chordata; Actinopteri; Salmoniformes; Salmonidae.